This 1311-nucleotide long non-coding RNA is filed under the name Takifugu rubripes (torafugu). RNAcentral describes it as "lncRNA (ENSTRUG00000032255.1)". The record is from RNAcentral. Lineage: Eukaryota; Metazoa; Chordata; Actinopteri; Tetraodontiformes; Tetraodontidae.
AUGUCGGAGAACGAAGAUACCUGGGACUCUGAGGUCGCUGAUGGCCGUGGUCCCAGCUCUAGUACUGGCCCUAAUGCUACCGCAGCGCAGGGCACGGACCAGGAACGUAACGUCAGAAGGAUCGUUCACUACAAGGUCAAGUGGCCGCCGUGUUUCCACGGUGAUGGCAAAGAUAAGGACAGUUUCUCACUUUGGAAGGCGCGACUCGAACUCGCUGUGAAAGCAUGCUCUGAUAACCUGCAACAGGAUCUCGUCACCAUUCUACCCACUCGGCUGAGUGGGGAUGCGUUGGCGUAUUGGCUGUCCUUAGAAGAGGCAGAGAAGAAGGAUUAUGACACAAGUAUUAUGAAGUUGAAUGAAGUUUUUGGGAGGAAACAAUUUUUGUUGCAUUUUCAAACGUUUGUUAAUGCCAGACAACGGUUGAUCAAAGAGCCCUUGGAAGUGUAUGCUGCUGAAGUCACCAGGCUAGUGCUUGAAGCUUUCCCAAAUUAUGGGGCGCCAGCCAUCGCAAUGGAGCGGUUCAGGAGGUUUGUUGCUGGCCUAGAUCUCACUCUUCAGGCAAAGUGUCACGAGCAUGGAGCCACUACGCUGGAGGAAGCGUUGGCCAUUGCCGGCAAGUGGGAGAGGGCUCAGGAGGCUUUGAAACUUUCAGCCCCUGCUGGCCCUCAGUCACCGACCCCCCCAGUGGCUACCUCAGCGACAGAGACUGUUUCUGCCAUGGUGUCAGCUAAGCAUGAUGCAACUCAUCACAGUGCAUCACCUGAACUGGCGACUGCCGUUCGUGAGCUGUCGGCUGAUGUGCGAGCACUUCGGCUGGAGGUGGAUCGGCUGCAGCGACGAAAUGAUCAUGACUACAGGGCACAGCUGGAGCGUGGCCGAGCAUGGCAGAGGUCGUCCCGAGAGAGAGAGAGGUACUCGCACUCGCCAUCACCGUCUCCAGAGCGUCACUCUGCAUACUGGCCGCAUCACUCCUCCCAGGGAGGGGAUUAUUACUCCCGCCACAGAUCUUCACCAAGCCGACGGGACCAGGGCUACUCACAUACUUCGCCAUCGUCACCACACCGGGCACCUAGAUCAUCGAGCAGCCAGGACCAGUAUCGGCGUGCCAGUCCCGGUUAUCGGCGCAGUCCCAGCCCAGCGCCCGGCUAUCAGGGCCGCUGGGAGCACCGUCCUCUACACACGUCAUCCACCAGGGGGAGGGAGGAGCGCCAAUCACCCAACUGGUCCUCCUAUCGCUCCCCGUCCAGAGAGAGAGGACGGCACGUGAGCUUCAACGACAGGGACAACUUCUACCAGGGAAACGGCCGCUAG